CAGACAAAAUGAAUGAACUAGCACCCACUUCUCAUUUCUAAAAAACAUUUUAUGCUGUCGGUUCCAGUUCCCCGAGUUCAAUGAUGCUGCCAAAGUAUCAACAACUUAGCAUCCUCUUCGUCGGUUUGAAGCCCCUCCGAUCUCUUAGUCAGGCUCUUUUUCUGUUUGCCUACCUGAUCCCACCGAUUCCUCAGCGUAAGGAGGCAUCGAACCUACCAGGUAAACUUCUUCACCCCUCUUCAGACUUUUGAGGUAUAUUUGAACCGAAUGCUUUGGAAACUUAUUGCUAGCUGUUUAAUGUCUCUAAUAUAUGCCCCAAUUCCUGACUUAUCUAUAUUACUAGACUGACAUUUCUUAAUUAUUGUUAACGCAUCACCUUCGAUUUCAAUCUUUCCCACUCCCAUUUGAAUCCCCAAUCUCAUCGCCUGAGACCAUGCACAAGCCUUUGCAGCGAAUAGAGAAGCUAUGUCCUUCUCCAGUAUCGCUUGGGAUACAAGUACCUCACCUUUGCUGUUUCUAGCUACUAAUCCCGAGGCCAAUCGAAAUUGUUGAGGGUUAUAGGCUACAUCAAAAUUUAUCUGGAUGUAUUGAUUUUCCGGAGGCCUCCAUAUCGAAAACAUAUUUUGUUUGGUAAUGCUUCUAGCCCCCAACUCAUCGAUUUCCUGGAUAUAUCUAAUAAUCCGUUCAGCUAUUCCUCUACCCGAACUAUUUUUGCCUUCAUGAUUUUUUUUUUGUUCCUUUCAAUCCAAAUUUCCCAAAGUGCACAACAAAAGAUUCGACAUUGGUAACUUGAACCUCUUUGAAACACUCAGGUAAGCCAUUCCCAGUUCUCUAGAUUUUCCACCGAUAAAACCCAUUCAAGAUUUAAGUAUUCCAAAUUUCCAUUGAAACAGGGCAUUCUCUAAACACGUGGGCUAUAGUCUCCAUCCCCUAUCUUCACCUAAGACAAAUUGUAUUCACUCGAAUCCUUCUGUGAUGUAGAUUUACUGGGGUUGGUAUGAAAUUCCAAGAGACUUUCCAUACUGUAAUCUUCUGUUUGGCUGUAAGCUCAAGGUUCCAUAGUUUUCUGUAAAAUUUUAUCAUAUCAUUCUAUAAUUCAAUAGUAGUAGAAUCGGUUGUAUUAGCAAGCAACAGUUUGUACCCACUCCUGAUCGAAUACUCACCAGAAGCCUCCUCCCUCCAUACCACCAUAUCAUCAUGUUCCACCGAGGCUAAAGGGAUCCUCGGAAUUCUACCUGCAUCAAUUUCAAAAAAGGUAUCCACAAUAAUUGCAACUUUCCAUGUUCUAGUCAUAUUAUCAAUUAAAUAUGAUACCUUUGCUACUUCAGUAUUACUAACAGUUCCACUGAUUCUAUAAUUUACAACUUUUCGGAUCCAUACGGCAUCUACAACAGUGAUCUUGUCACCUUUCCCAACCCACCAACAAAGCCCUUUCUCAAGGAGGCCCCUAGCUACCCAUAUACUUUGCCAGGUAUAAGAAGGUAGAUUUCCUAACCUAGCUUUCAAAAAGUCAUAAUUUGGGUAAUAUUUUGCCUUUAACAUGCGUGCUAACAAUGAAUUUUGAUUGCAAAUAAGACGCCAACCUUGUUUUGCUAACAAAGCUAAAUUAAAUUUUGCUAGGCUACGAAAACCUAAACCUCCCUUCUAUUUUAACUCACACAAACCAUUCCAUUCACACCAAUGUAUACCUCUUCUACCAUGUCCUUUCUGCCACUAAAACUUAUUUAUUAUGCCUUCCAAAUCACCAUAAAGCGGCUUUGGUAGCAAAAAAAACACAUCAUAGAAUAUGUUAGAAUGGCUUGUAAGACGACUUUAAUCAAUACUUCCUUUCCCCCUUGAAACAGAAAUUGUCUACUCCAAUUAUCAAUCUUCUAUUUGACCUUAUCUUUUAAAAUAUGGAAAACCAAUUUCUUCCAUCUUCCCACAUAUUUGGAAGACCUAAAUAGCGUUCUGGAUUAUUCGAAGACCUCACACCUAAAGUUCUCGAGACCGAUAAUGAUACGGGGUUGCGCGCGGACCAAGAUCGAGUUGCCAAGUCACAAGAAACUCCUACGAAAACCCUAAACAAUUAGAUCUGAAACGAAACAGAAAAUUAAAAGAUUAGAUUUUUGAAUUUUCAGAUCUGAAAUAAAAUCCCCAAAUCAGCAAAGAAUCAAAUUGAGAAUAGAAAUAAGUGUUAGGGUUCUUGAAACCCUCAAGGAGAUUGUGAUUCUGCCCAAUUGAACACCAAGAUAGUUUUCCCCAAAUUUCGACAAUCUAAUUUCACCCAAAAAGAGUAUGGAAAAACCCUAGAAAUUGGGGAUUUUUGGGCUGAUUCCUUAAGAUAGAAAAAUGCUGAAAACACAAUAAGAACAGAAAAUAGAUUAGAUAAUGAUUCAGCACAAGUAGAAAUAAAGAAAGAAUUGACAGUAAGAAAUUAAAAGAUAAGUCCUAAGAAGCCUUGAAAUCUCGAAAGAUCUCACAACUCCCUUCAAACGGCUCUAAUCUCCCCUCCAAAGAAUAUCAAUGGCAAGAAGAAGGUUGAAGAUGGCUCCCACAAUCAAAAAGAUUGUUAAAACAACUUCUAAAGAAAACUCAAGAGAAAAUCAUUGAAGAACUCAAAGAGAAUUUUCACUCAAAUCAAAUCUGAAAAUUUCAAUGUAAUUGUAAUGCAAUGUAGGGUGGCUGGCCAAGCCAUAUAAAUAGGCCUUUCAAAUGUUUUCCUAAUUUAAUUAGAACACUAAAACUAAAACUAAAAAAAAAACUCCUAAUUAUUUUAAUAUGGAAAUUCGGCCAAGGGUCUUUUAUUUGGGACUCUUGGACUGAAUAUAAAAAUUUAAACUAAGUAAAAUAAAUAAAUAAAAAUAAAACUUUACAACUUGGGCCACUUUGACAAUUUGGCCUGAUUUUCAACUAAGUAUGGAUGGAUUUCUUGAUUGGGCUGGGAAUUUACUUAUUGGGCCUCGCCUUCAAGAAUUUGGGCUUUUGUGACUCGUAUCAUUCCCCCCUUCCUCAAAAAGAUUCGUCAUCGAAUCUGAAAAAUCAAAUGAACUCGACUUUCCUCUAUCGAACGGGAGUAAUGGCAAUUGAGUCCACUGAAAAGAAUAGCCAUGAAAUAGUAAAUAGCAACACAAACAAGCUUGUAGUCCAAUUAUAAGCAUAAUAGAACAGGUAUAACGCAUGUGAAUGGACAGAUUCAGAUUACCAUGCAAACAAUCUAAUUUACUCACCACUGCCUCGUCAAAUAUUUGAAACAAAGAUGGACAUGUUUUAAGGCAUUCAGUCGUCUCACAUUGUUCCCACAAACCAUGAAUAAAUUGCGAGUAAUAAAUCAAAUGGUAAACAUAAUCGUCACAAGUAGGUAUUUGAAAAGAUUCACAUGGUUCACAGAGUUGCAUAAUCAUACCAUGCAUUAAUCGACGGUCUAUAGAUUCACUCACACAUGCAUUAUCAAAAACAAGAAUCUUUUUAUCAACCAUCAAAACAGAUAGAUCAUCAAUAAAUAAAAUAGGACAGUCAAGCACGUUUCGAUCUAAGUGUUCAUCAACACGAUCUUUAUCACUAUCCGAGGAGUACAAAAGUGUUUCAAAGGUUUCAAGCAUCUUACCUCGAUAAGCAGAAGAAUAAGGGUCGAUUUUACCUUUUUCAUUUAAAACAAACCUUCGCUCAUCGGGGGCAUAGUGUAGUCGAAUCUCCGUUGUUGAGUUAACCUUUGUCAAAUGGAACUCAAACUUCAUGUACAACCACAUAAACUGUUUAAGGCACGAAUAUAAAUUGAAAACAAAUUUGGAAAAUUUCGUUACCUUAUUCUCCAAAACAGAUUUGGACAAAUUCGAGGAUUUUACACAAGGUAAAUCAAGAGAAUAACAAAUCACGCUUCUUUUCGUAAUGACUUUAUCAACCACAAUCGAAGAGUAACAAUUAAUCGGAUCAAAAUGAGGUGAUCUUUUAAGAACUAAGUCACCAAAAGUUUUAUUAAUAAUUUUCAAAUCUGCACUGGACUCGGUUUCUAAAAUUUCCUUACCUCGCUUACCUUCGGGAUCAUGUAGUGUGAUUUCAUCUUUGCCUAAGUUGAUCGUAUGAAAGCGUCUUUCAUUUGAGAGGUAUUGAAGUUAAAAGUUAUCUUUCGAUCUUUCGGGAACCUGAAAAGUAGCAACACAAGAAAAAUUCAUAUCUUGGUUAGUGGAAACAUUCCUCACUAGCCUUUCCUCGUCUUUUUCUUUUGUUUCUUUUUCUAACUCAUUUUCUCUUCUUUCUUCAACUUCUUUUUCAAUUUUCUUUUCUGUUUCACAUUCCUUUUCACUCUCAAUCUCUUUUUGCUCUUUUUCAUUCUCUUUUUCUUUUUCCUCACUUGUUUUAACAGAAUUUUUCAGUUUGAUUUGGUCCUCAUGGACUUGUUCCAGAGUGAGCAGUACUAAGGUGAGUUUCUUUCCUUGAUGCUUGAAAGAAUACCUAUUGGUACGACCAUCGUGAGUGACUUUUCGAUCCAGUUGCCACGGUUCUCCUAGCAACAAAUGGCAGGCUUGAAUAGGCAUUACGUCACACACAACUUCGUCUUGAUACUUACCGAUAGAAAAGGCGAUGCGCACUUGUUGAGUGACCCUAAAUUGGCCUUCGUUGCUAAGCCCUUGUAGUUGAUAACUUUGUGGAUGCUUGGUAGUAGUUAAGCAAAGCUUUUCCACCAUCGUCGUGCUGGCUAUGUUCGAGCAACUUUCACCAUCAAUAAUAACUCUACAAAGCUUACCUUGUACGUGGCAGCGAGUAUGAAAGAGAUGUUCUCGUUGCUGCUCGCUCUUUGGUUUUGCCAAAGAUGAUUGUCCAUGAUCAUGACAAUCAUCAUCCAUUCUAGGGACACGUUGAGGGUUACACCUAUGGGGCUGGUUAUCCCUAUCUUCCUUAAUUGGAUCUCGAUAUUGAUGUUUUUGAUUCAAUCGUACCUCAUUCAAAGUAGUAUUCAAUGCUUGAAGUGUAGCAUUUAUUUGUGUGAUUGCAGCAGUAUGUCUGUCUAACUGUUGUUGGACUUUCAUAAGUGCAUCAUUAUUAUCACCUUUAGACAUCUUCAAAACCUAUAAAAAAUAAACACUCAACACUCAAAAAUAAAAGUUAGCAAACCUCACCAUUAAUCACUCAAAAAGAAAAAUCAAAUUCUCAAUGAGGUCGAAUUCAAUCUUGUGAGUUCUUUACCAGAGUUUAUAUCAACCAAUUAGAGAGUGUGAACCAAACUACCAAAGAAUCCUAAUUUGCACUAGGAUGCCAAAAACUGACGAGACACCAAGUGAUUCGUGUUGCACCGAGGAAGGAUUGUGCACACGUUUAAAUCCUACUAACACAAGAAACAAGAAGGUGUUAGAUAUUUUAAAAGGAUAAUAAAAAGCAAACAAAUGAAAACCUACAGCUAAGAAUCAAUAAAAAUUGCUGAAAACAGAAAACCCGAAAAACUGUGGAGUAACUUGACAACUUCGUUCGAGGUGUUCUCGAUCUCAAAAAAUCACAAAAUUAAAUCUCGAAUGUCCUUAAAUAUUUAAUUUUUGAUCUGGAAAGUUUGGGCACCAAACUCAACCCGCUGAAUUUUUUUAAAAUUUUUAUUAGAUUUCGUAUUUUUUUCGAUUUUUUAACUUUUUUGACUGAUUUUUUUGCAGGAAUAAAUUUUUUAUAUUCAAUCACAGUGCCACAAAUAUGUAUGUAAAAUUUCAGAUCAAUUUGACAACGUUUACCCACUCAAAUAAAAUUUUUUUUGAAAGAUUUUUCUGGGUAAAACUGCUGUUUUUGCUUUAAAAUAUUGAGAUCAGUUUAGAAAUCAACCAAGAACACCCAAAACGCCCAAAAUCUGAUACCAAAUGAUACGGGGUUACGCGUGGACCAAGAUCGAGUUGCCAAGUCACGAGAAACUCCUACGAAAACCCUAAACAAUUAGAUCUGAAACGAAACAGAAAAUUAAAAGAUUAGAUUUUUGAAUUUUCAGAUCUGAAAUAAAAUCCCCAAAUCAGCAAAAAAUCAAAUUGAGAAUAGAAAUAAGUGUUAGGGUUCUUGAAACCCUCAAGGAGAUUGUGAUUCUGCCCAAUUGAACACCAAGAUAGUUUUCCCCAAAUUUCGACAAUCUAAUUUCACCCAAAAAGAGUAUGGAAAAACCCUAGAAAUUGGGGAUUUUUGGGCUGAUUCCUUAAGAUAGAAAAAGGCUGAAAACACAAUAAGAACAGAAAAUAGAUUAGAUAAUGAUUCAGCACAAGUAGAAAUAAAGAAAGAAUUGAUAGUAAGAAAUUAAAAAAUAAGUCCUAAGAAGCCUUGAAAUCUCGAAAGAUCUCACAACUCCCUUCAAACGGCUCUAAUCUCCCCUCCAAAGAAUAUCAAUGGCAAGAAGAAGGUUGAAGAUGGCUCCCACAAUCAAAAAGAUUGUUAAAACAACUUCUAAAGAAAACUCAAGAGAAAAUCAUUGAAGAACUCAAAGAGAAUUUUCACUCAAAUCAAAUCUGAAAUUUUCAAUGUAAUUGUAAUGUAAUGUAGGGUGGCUGGCCAAGCCAUAUAAAUAGGCCUUUCAAAUGUUUUCCUAAUUUAAUUAGAACACUAAAACUAAAACUAAAAAAAAACUCCUAAUUAUUUUAAUAUGGAAAUUCGGCCAAGGGUCUUUUAUUUGGGACUCUUGGACUGAAUAUAAAAAUUUAAACUAAGUAAAAUAAAUAAAUAAAAAUAAAACUUUACAACUUGGGCCACUUUGACAAUUUGGCCUGAUUUUCAACUAAGUAUGGAUGGAUUUCUUGAUUGGGCUGGGAAUUUGCUUAUUGGGCCUCGCCUUCAAGAAUUUGGGCUUUUGUGACUCGUAUCAGAUAACCUUUCACUGUCAACGAUGUUCUGGCUAAAAAAAUCGUAGACUUUUCAUGAUUUAUGCAAUGACCUGAACAGAUCUCGUAUUCCUUUAGAACAUCUUUUAAAAUACAGGCUCCCCUUCUAUUUGCCUCACCAAACAAAACGUAACCAUUAGCAAAUAAAAAAUGCAUAAUUUGUGCCCCCCUAUGACUGACCGUAGCCCCUUUAAGCAAACCUUCAUUCAAGGCCAAAUUCAUUAAGACAGGCAACCCUUCACUACAAAUUAGAAAGAGCAACGGGCUCAAAGGGUACCUUUGACGAAGCACUCUUCUCGGUUUAAAAAUUUCCCCAACCUCCCUAUUAAUAAUCAUCGAAUAUGAGACAAAAGAAAUGCACUGCAUAAUAAGAUCAAUCCAUGAAAUUGUAAAAACUAUUCUUUCCAUCAUUACUCGAAGAAAACCCCAUUCAACCCAAUCAUACGCUUUGCUUAUAUCUAACUUUAAGGCCAUAAAUCCCUUAUUCCUAACCCAUUUCUAUCUAAAAGAAUGUAAAACCUCAUAGGCUAACAACAUAUUAUUAGAAAUUAGCCUCCCAGGCACAAAGACACUUUGAGCAUUGUUAAUCAUCUAACACUCUUUGGAACCUAUUAGCUAUUGCUUUUGUUAUCAAUUUAUAAAUUGCUAUGCAUAAGCUGAUAGGUCUAAAAUUCUUUAGAUGCAUUGAAUGAGGAACUUUCGAAAUUAAAACAAUAUUUGUGUUGUUUAAGGAAUUUAGCGUCAUAUCUUCAUUCAGCACCUUUAAAUAAAGAAAAAAAUCUCUCUCCCACAAUAUGCCAGCAUUUCUGAAUAAAUAAAGUCAGAAAACCAUCAUCCCUAACGUCUUUGUUGGCCCCAUCCUUUUCAAAGCUAGCACUAUCUCCUCUAUAUACCGCUCUGUCAACAAUAAAUUUGCCUCGUUUGAUAUACGAUUUCCCACACCUUCCAAAAUAUGAUCCGUAACCCAUGUUCCAUUCGUCAUGAAAAGUAUUUGAAAAUAGCUAGGAGCGAUCUCUUUCAUCUCUGUCUCAUCCGCUGUCACUCUCCCAUCCUCGAACUGUAACCCUCCAAUUCUAUUUAUCCAACGACGUUGUGAAGCAUAAUUAUGAAAGAAUGUUGUAUUCUUAUCCCCUAACCGCAACUAAUUAGCUCUGGCUCUUUGUUCCCAAAACAUUUCAUCUUUGUCAAUCUCCAAAUUUAAUGGGAUUUUUGUAUCAAUCAACUUUUCAAAGAUGUCAUUGUCUCUUUCUUUCUCCAGUAACUCACCCAAUUUAUUCGUCAAGCCCUUUUUAAUUCCAUUCAUUUUCUUUCUUAUCAUCAUUUCCCAAUCACACAAAACCUCCUUUGCGCGCUCCAAUUUAGUGCACACAUCUCCACCAACCUCUUCCCACAACCUUUUAACCUGCUCUUCGAAUGACUCCUCCAUUACCCACCAAGCCUCAAACCAGAAUAUUUUUGGCCUUUGAUUCAUCUCCUAUCGCUCUAGUUGAAUAAGGAAAAGACAAUGAUCUGAAUACGAAUAUGGAAGAUGGUGAAUCCCCAAGUUUGGAAACAAAUUCAUCAUUCCUUCAUUCACCACUCCCCUAUAUAACAUUUCUCUAAUGUUUGUUUCUAGAAGAUUACCCCUCUCCCAAGUGAACCAUGGUCUAGAGUAUCCAACAUCUACCAAAUGGCCCUCCUCUAAAACCCUCUAAAAUAAUUCCAUUCUUCUCUCAUCCCUUGGUACUCCGCCUAUCUUCUCAAACGAGUACAUAAUCUCAUUAAAGUCCCCACAUACCAUCCACGAGAGAUUUUGCAAACACCCCAAAGUUUUAAGUAAAUUCCAAGCAUCAUCUCUUCCUUGGGCAUAAGAGGCCCCAUAAAACUCAAUAAAUUUCAAUUGUUUGUUAUACUCAAGUUCUUGAACAUCCACAUCAAUAUGACGAACUAAGUAACUUCUAAGAACGACUGUAAUAUCCCCUUUCCAAGCCAAACUUAACCCACCUUUAGACCCUUUAGUUGAAACUUCAAAACCACUUGAGAAACCACAUCUCCUAUGAACACUUUCCAUUAUUCUAUUAUUCAAUUUAGUCUCUAUGAAGAAUACUAUCUGGAGAUUAUACAUCUUCAGCAAAUGCAGAGUCCUUAUUGCCCAUGGAUUCCCCAAACCACGAAAUUUCCAAUAUAAGAUUUUCAGUACGACCGAUCGGCUUACCUCUUGGCAGCCGCCGAUAUAAAUUAGGAUCUCUCCACCAGUCUCUCCUCCCUUACCACAGUUGAAUUUUUUAUCCCAAAAAUAACAUAAUUACCAAUCUCCUUUCGAGGUCUUUUAUUGCCAUCUACACUUCCGAUUGAUGUCUCAUUCACAUCAUGUUUCAUAUCUGCAUGCCCCUUAUCUGCACCUCCUUCCCUCUUUCCCCUGAGGCAUCACUCACCUCCCUUUCUAGAUUAAGACCUAGUAUAGGAUCCAAUUUCACCUUAAAAUCCCAUUUGUCACAUUCCCCAAAACCACUCCCCUAAUUCGAUUACCUAAUGUUACUCCCAAACCCCCCAUCAACAUUUUCUACCAACCAUACACUACUCAUCGCAUUAGCUCUUCUAAAUUGUGCUCGAAGAGAUAGAUCCCAACUCAACUCUAUAGACUCCUCCCCUUUUGACAUUUUGAUUUGGCAAAAAGAAUCGCUAUGUCCUAACCGACCGCAAUAAAAGCAAAACAUUGUUAACUUCUCAUAUCUAAAACUGACAUAAGCACAAUUCUCGAGUGCAAACAUAAUCUUUUUCCUUCCUCUUCAAAAGCCUCCUCACAUCCAACUAGACCCUAAUUCGAAGGAAAUUCCUCACACCCUUACUCAUACUCUUUGAAUCGUAUUCUAAGAAUUUGCUUAGAAAAUCUCCCAAUUGUCGCACAACCGCUUCCAAAAACAACCCCAUAAGUAACUCAUGAACUUGGGCCCCAAAAUUAACAAAGAUUAAUGGAACCUUCACCGGAUCUUCCCCAAUCUCCAAGAGAUGAAACACCAAAAGAUGAUUAUUGAAAGUCCAAUGCGCACCAUUAACAACUCACUCCAGAUCCAUCUUAUGAAAAAACCUGAAAAAAAUCUUUUAUCUCCAAAAUCUGAUAUCUGAACUCCUCUAACCCAAACAUUCGCCAUGCACUAUAGCAAAACAGGCUUUUAGCAGUUUUCAUUGCAAAACACAAGGGAAAUGAUGAUGUUUAGCCCUAUCCUACGCUUCAAUUAUGCAGAAACUCCAAUUAUUACUAAAAAUCAUGUUCUUUAGCGGCGUUUGUGAAAAAAAGGUCGCUAAAAGUCAUUCUCUAUAGUGGUGUUUGUGACAAAAGCACCGCUAAAGGUCAGUUUUUUAGCGGCGUUGUCUUUAGCGGCGUUUAUGAAAAAACGCCACUAACUUUGGAAGAUUUAUAACAUUCAAUUUUCAUCCAUAUACAACCCUUCUUGUAGCAUGAAAUCCAACCAAAAACAGCAAAUCUAAAUAAUACUUCAAAUUCAACGAAAGAUAUAUGAUAUAAAUUGAUAAUUGAAGUACAAUUCAAAAUAUUCUUACAAUAAUGUUAAAAGUUACAAUGUUAAAAAUAUUCUUACAAUAAGAAAACAAAUGUCUAAGAUGGCAAGCUCAAAAAUAGCUCGUGCCCGCUCUGUUUCAGCUAAUGAUCUUUCUAACUCAGCAUAUUUGCUCCAUGCAUAGCAGUUCUCAGGUGCCCACUCCAAAUACUUCUCAUACAGUUUUCGGCAACGGUCAAUAUUACCAAGUUGCAGCUCAAUUUCAAUAUACUUCUUAAAGAUCUGAAUUUGAACAAAACAACAUAAUGAGAAAAGUUCAUGUUAAAAGUAGUCAAAUUUAUAAACUUUCAGCAAGCUGAAACAUUUACAUUAUCUUUAGGUGCCUUUCCAAAAGCAUUUCCCAAAAUUUGUCGCGCACCCUUGAGAUUGAGCUGACUUAUUUCAAACUGUGCAGCAAGAAGCCAGAUCUUUGCAAAAGAAAACUUCUCGUGUGGAAUAAGCUUAAGGCACUCCCUGGAAAAUUUUUAAAUUAAUGAGGAACCAUUCAAAGUCUAUUAUAACCAACCACAAAUAUGAAUGGUGAAAAGCACCAAAAAACUGACUGAUUCUUUAGAAUACACCAUAUGCCUAUGAAUGAGGGAGACAAGAUAAAAAUCAAAAUAACAUUUGAUGCAUGCUAUAAAUGUAACAAUAAUUCACUGCCUACUAACUACUAUAAAACCACCACCAUAUAAUCACAAGAUAAUACAUUAAGUCAUGUCAAAGAGAAACAAUGCAAAUGUUGAAAUAUGUUCUCUCUAUUUUAAACAACAUCAUUUCUCAUGACAUUUUAGAUAUAAUGAGUUGUCUUACAAAUAAACCAGAAGAGAGGCACCAAUACAAAACAAGGAAUAUGGAACAAAAACGCUACCAUGAAAAGAACGAAGAUACCAAUAACACAAAGAAAUAGAACACUUAAUGAGAAAAAAGGUGCAACAAAGCUAACAUCGAAUGUUAAAUUUUAGAUUUUCUUCCUUCCUUUUCCCUUAUUAUAUGCACGUUACAGGGUAAUGAAAUGGACUAUUAGUAGAACAUGAAACCAAAACAUGCAAACAUUCAAAUAGUAGGCAAUUGGCAAAUUUCUUGCAGAGUUCAGUUGACAAGAUUUAUUAGUAAAGCAAUUAUUUCACUUGCAAUUAGCAACAGUAGCAACCAACAGAACCAUAAAUCCAUUGCAAGAACAUAAAGAUACCUGUACACAUCUCUCGUUCUCUCCAUAUCCCCAGCAUCAAGCUCUUCAUAUAAAUCAUAAUUAAUUCUAAAUUACAAGUAAACCAUAAGUUGGUUAGUACAGAACUAUAAUAUUAAACCAAGCAUACAACCAUUAGGCAUACAAAAACUCACCACAAGUAAACAUAUCUCUGCCAAUAUCGUUUCUCCUCAGCUUGAGGAACAUUAGCAAUAGCUCUCUCAGAAACCUCUCUAAUCCUCCCCUUAUUGCCUACACUCUCUUCCAACCUUAUAUAAUCAAACCAAGCAUCACAAUUCCAUGGAUUUUUCCUGACUUCAUCCUUAUACUGAAACCUUCUCUUCCCCACAAUGGCAUCCUCAAUCCCUUCCUUAUCUCUAUAUUGCUUCUCAAAAGCCAUAAACUUUCUAUACAAAUCCUUUGCACUAUCUUUGGGUAUAUGAUCAAGAGCAAACUUGUAAAAACAACGAGCUCGUUCCAUUUUCUUACACCGUUCCUCAAAUUCAGCGAAUGCAACGAAUAACUGCUCUGCAUCUUCUUCAUCCGCCAGCUUCUCCACCGCACGUUCGUACACAUUCCUAGCUUGUACAAUCUCCCCAUUCUUCAUCUUGAUUUUUUUUAAUUCUACACGGUGGAAUUUUUUUAUAUAAAACAGAUAGUUAAAAGUUUUUAAUUUACUCCAAACUUUAUAUGCAUGAUCUAUAUAAAUGAAGUGUGAAAUAUGACCGUUGAAAUAUUAAAUUAUUAAUUGUACAAAAAAAUAUUAAAGUGUGUAAAACUACUCUAAUUUUAGAAUAUUAUAAGUGGAUUUCUCCCUAUAUAUAUAUUUAAAAACCAUAAUUUUUAAUUUAAGUAUAAUUUUGAUAUAGAGGGAGAGAGUGUGUAAUAAGUUUGAGAGGAUGAAUGCUCUACUGCCCCAAUUCACAUGAAAUAUAAACAACUUCCAGAAAAUGGCUUUCCUGAUUCUUUUAAAUUAGUAAAUACUUUAAGAAAGAGUAACCAUAUACAGGGGACAAAGACUUACAAAAAGCCAAAGCUUGUUUGUCUCCUAGAUAAAGUGCUCCCUUUCUUGAUUCCUCUCUAACUUACUUAUAUUAAACUUUGACAGUAUUGUAUAGACAAAAAUCUUGCAUGGUUACAAGAUAUUUAAGCAAAGCCAAGAUCACCAUACUGAAAAUUAAUUGUUCGAACUCACAUUGGACAAUAAAGGCUUGUUUAUAUUUCAGCAAAAAUGCCGUUGCUACUUUCUUAAAGUAUUUACUAAUUUAUUAAAGAAAAAAACAAGUAAAAGAGAAACGAGCUAAAAGGAAAAUUAUAUUUAUUUAUACCGAUUUAAACUUAUAAACUACACUAUUUUGAUUUGCAUACAGAUAAGCAUCCAUAUUGCAAUUCAAAUUCGACUAAAUUGAACAAAGUUUUAAGAAAUUUCAGACCCUAAAAAGUGAAAGUAAAAAGGGAAAAAAAGACAGAUGAGUACUUGAAACGAUAUUUCUUUGUUUUUUUAGUCGAUAUCGAAGUUAUCAAAAUCGUCUUCGAAGUUGUUGAAGAAAUCGGCAUCGGCGAGCUUGUUGUCGAAAGCGAUGACGCCUUCGCCGAAGAUCUCCGGUGUGACAACAUCAUCGGCUUCCAUGGAUGAACCUUGGCCGUCUAGGUCCAUCACGAAUUCCAUCGGCAUCGGCCUCAUCUUUCCCCCCUUUUUCUUUAGGCUUUUAGGGAUUUCUUUUGUUGGUUUAAUUUUAAUUAUUUUUGUUGAAAUAUCACGCUGAGGUUAUAUAGAGGAUGUUUACCCCAAAACGAUGUCGCUUAUAGGUCCUUUGAGAAACACAACGUUUCAGCCUUUAAUUGGGAAGAUGUGUUUUUUUUUUCUUUUAGCAUGACCUUUUUGGCACUCUAAUUUGAUCAUUCAUUUAAUUUUAUAUUUUUUUAAUUAUUGAAUUUAUAUUAUUUAUCAAAUUAUUUUAAAUAAAUAUAAAAAUUCAUGUUUAUCAAUUUUACAGACGACAUAUACAUGAAUUAUUGUAUAGAUGUAAUGUGAAUCGAUAAAAAGCUAGAAGGCUUCUCCAAAUAAAGUCUUUGACCUUCUGAGGGACCUUACAAUUCCAAAGGCACGACAACAGCCACUCCACAACAUAAAGAU
Molecule: long non-coding RNA, 13677 nt
Filed under: Gossypium barbadense (sea-island cotton)
Lineage: Eukaryota; Viridiplantae; Streptophyta; Magnoliopsida; Malvales; Malvaceae
Description: long non-coding RNA (GBAR_LNC014997)
Source: RNAcentral